RNAcentral lists this transfer RNA (74 nucleotides) under Enterococcus faecalis. Its description in RNAcentral is "tRNA-Pro". It matches the Rfam family "tRNA". Rfam says of the family: Transfer RNA (tRNA) molecules are approximately 80 nucleotides in length. Their secondary structure includes four short double-helical elements and three loops (D, anti-codon, and T loops). The record is from RNAcentral. Lineage: Bacteria; Bacillati; Bacillota; Bacilli; Lactobacillales; Enterococcaceae.
CGGGAAGUAGCUCAGCUUGGUAGAGCACUUGGUUUGGGACCAAGGGGUCGCAGGUUCGAAUCCUGUCUUYCSGA